UUAAGUUAUUAAGGGCGCACGGUGGAUGCCUUGGCACUAGAAGCCGAUGAAGGACGUUACUAACGACGAUAUGCUUUGGGGAGCUGUAAGUAAGCUUUGAUCCAGAGAUUUCCGAAUGGGGAAACCCAGCAUGAGUUAUGUCAUGUUAUCGAUAUGUGAAUACAUAGCAUAUCAGAAGGCACACCCGGAGAACUGAAACAUCUUAGUACCCGGAGGAAGAGAAAGAAAAUUCGAUUCCCUUAGUAGCGGCGAGCGAAACGGGAAGAGCCCAAACCAACAAGCUUGCUUGUUGGGGUUGUAGGACACUCUAUACGGAGUUACAAAGGACGACAUUAGACGAAUCAUCUGGAAAGAUGAAUCAAAGAAGGUAAUAAUCCUGUAGUCGAAAAUGUUGUCUCUCUUGAGUGGAUCCUGAGUACGACGGAGCACGUGAAAUUCCGUCGGAAUCUGGGAGGACCAUCUCCUAAGGCUAAAUACUCUCUAGUGACCGAUAGUGAACCAGUACCGUGAGGGAAAGGUGAAAAGCACCCCGGAAGGGGAGUGAAAUAGAACCUGAAACCGUGUGCUUACAAGUAGUCAGAGCCCGUUAAUGGGUGAUGGCGUGCCUUUUGUAGAAUGAACCGGCGAGUUACGAUUUGAUGCAAGGUUAAGCAGUAAAUGUGGAGCCGUAGCGAAAGCGAGUCUGAAUAGGGCGUUUAGUAUUUGGUCGUAGACCCGAAACCAGGUGAUCUACCCUUGGUCAGGUUGAAGUUCAGGUAACACUGAAUGGAGGACCGAACCGACUUACGUUGAAAAGUGAGCGGAUGAACUGAGGGUAGCGGAGAAAUUCCAAUCGAACCUGGAGAUAGCUGGUUCUCUCCGAAAUAGCUUUAGGGCUAGCCUCAAGUGAUGAUUAUUGGAGGUAGAGCACUGUUUGGACGAGGGGCCCCUCUCGGGUUACCGAAUUCAGACAAACUCCGAAUGCCAAUUAAUUUAACUUGGGAGUCAGAACAUGGGUGAUAAGGUCCGUGUUCGAAAGGGAAACAGCCCAGACCACCAGCUAAGGUCCCAAAAUAUAUGUUAAGUGGAAAAGGAUGUGGCGUUGCCCAGACAACUAGGAUGUUGGCUUAGAAGCAGCCAUCAUUUAAAGAGUGCGUAAUAGCUCACUAGUCGAGUGACACUGCGCCGAAAAUGUACCGGGGCUAAACAUAUUACCGAAGCUGUGGAUUGUCCUUUGGACAAUGGUAGGAGAGCGUUCUAAGGGCGUUGAAGCAUGAUCGUAAGGACAUGUGGAGCGCUUAGAAGUGAGAAUGCCGGUGUGAGUAGCGAAAGACGGGUGAGAAUCCCGUCCACCGAUUGACUAAGGUUUCCAGAGGAAGGCUCGUCCGCUCUGGGUUAGUCGGGUCCUAAGCUGAGGCCGACAGGCGUAGGCGAUGGAUAACAGGUUGAUAUUCCUGUACCACCUAUAAUCGUUUUAAUCGAUGGGGGGACGCAGUAGGAUAGGCGAAGCGUGCGAUUGGAUUGCACGUCUAAGCAGUAAGGCUGAGUAUUAGGCAAAUCCGGUACUCGUUAAGGCUGAGCUGUGAUGGGGAGAAGACAUUGUGUCUUCGAGUCGUUGAUUUCACACUGCCGAGAAAAGCCUCUAGAUAGAAAAUAGGUGCCCGUACCGCAAACCGACACAGGUAGUCAAGAUGAGAAUUCUAAGGUGAGCGAGCGAACUCUCGUUAAGGAACUCGGCAAAAUGACCCCGUAACUUCGGGAGAAGGGGUGCUCUUUAGGGUUAACGCCCAGAAGAGCCGCAGUGAAUAGGCCCAAGCGACUGUUUAUCAAAAACACAGGUCUCUGCUAAACCGUAAGGUGAUGUAUAGGGGCUGACGCCUGCCCGGUGCUGGAAGGUUAAGAGGAGUGGUUAGCUUCUGCGAAGCUACGAAUCGAAGCCCCAGUAAACGGCGGCCGUAACUAUAACGGUCCUAAGGUAGCGAAAUUCCUUGUCGGGUAAGUUCCGACCCGCACGAAAGGCGUAACGAUUUGGGCACUGUCUCAACGAGAGACUCGGUGAAAUCAUAGUACCUGUGAAGAUGCAGGUUACCCGCGACAGGACGGAAAGACCCCGUGGAGCUUUACUGUAGCCUGAUAUUGAAAUUCGGCACAGCUUGUACAGGAUAGGUAGGAGCCUUUGAAACGUGAGCGCUAGCUUACGUGGAGGCGCUGGUGGGAUACUACCCUAGCUGUGUUGGCUUUCUAACCCGCACCACUUAUCGUGGUGGGAGACAGUGU
RNAcentral lists this ribosomal RNA (2256 nucleotides) under Staphylococcus aureus A6224. Its description in RNAcentral is "bacterial LSU rRNA". It matches the Rfam family "Bacterial large subunit ribosomal RNA", at positions 3 to 2257 of the family's 2925-position model. Lineage: Bacteria; Bacillati; Bacillota; Bacilli; Caryophanales; Staphylococcaceae. The record is from RNAcentral.